Molecule: ribosomal RNA, 1243 nt
Filed under: metagenome
Description: bacterial LSU rRNA
Rfam family: Bacterial large subunit ribosomal RNA
Source: RNAcentral
UGAAUACGAGAUGCUACGGCGUCGAAGCAGUCUAUGUCAUACUUCCAAGAAAAGCUUGCACUGUCAUAAACAAAUAAUGCCUGUACCAUAACCGACACAGGUGGGUAGGUAGAGUAUACUAAGGGGCGCGAGAUAACUCUCUCUAAGGAACUCGGCAAAAUGACUCCGUAACUUCGGGAGAAGGAGUGCCUUAUUUAUAAGGUUGCAAUAACAAGAUCCAAGCAACUGUUUACCAAAAACACAGGUCUCCGCUAAGUCGUAAGACGAUGUAUGGGGGCUGACGCCUGCCCAGUGCCAGAAGGUUAAAGAAGUUGGUUAGCAUCCGCGAAGCUGAUAACUGAAGCCCUGGUGAACGGCGGCCGUAACUAUAACGGUCCUAAGGUAGCGAAAUCCCUUGUCGGGUAAGUUCCGACCCGCACGAAAGGCGUAAUGAUUUGGAUACUGUCUCGGAGAGGGGCUCGGUGAAAUAGACUUGUCUGUGAAGAUGCGGACUACCUGCACCAGGACAGAAAGACCCUAUGAAGCUUUACUGUAACCUGAAAUUGAAAUUGGACUUUACUUGCGCAGUAUAGGUGGGAGGCGUUGAGAAUAUUCUUGCGGGAUUAUUGGAGCCAUCAGUGAGAUACCACUCUUGUAAUGUUAGAUUUCUAACUUUGUAUCAUUAUCUGGUCAAAGAACAGUUUCAGGCGGGCAGUUUGACUGGGGCGGUCGCCUCCUAAACGGUAACGGAGGCGCACAAAGGUUUCCUCUGAACGGGUAGAAAUCGUAUCUAGAGUGUAAAGGCAUAAGGAAGCUUGACUGUGAGACCUACAAGUCGAGCAGGGACGAAAGUCGGUCUUAGUGAUCUGACGGUGCUGAGUGGAAAGGCCGUCACUCAACGGAUAAAAGUUACUCUAGGAUAACAGGCUGAUCUCCCCCAAGAGUUCACAUCGACGGGGAGGUUUGGCACCUCGAUGUCGGCUCAUCGCAUCCUGGGGCGGUAGUACGUCCCAAGGGUUGGGCUGUUCGCCCAUGAAAGCGGUACGCGAGCUGGGUUCAGAACGUCGUGAGACAGUUCGGUCCAUAUCCGGUGUAGGCGUUAGAAUAUUGAGAGGAGCCUUCUUUAGUACGAGAGGACCGAGAAGGACAUACCUCUGGUGUACCAGUUAUCGUGCCAACGGUAAACGCUGGGUAGCUAUGUGUGGAGUGGAUAACCGCUGAAAGCAUCUAAGUGGGAAGCCCACCUCAAGAUAAGUAUUCUCAC